Molecule: long non-coding RNA, 3078 nt
Filed under: Sus scrofa (pig)
Lineage: Eukaryota; Metazoa; Chordata; Mammalia; Artiodactyla; Suidae
Description: lncRNA (ENSSSCG00025030920.1, ENSSSCG00045006604.1, ENSSSCG00055008764.1)
Source: RNAcentral
GCAGAACAUAAAUUGCAGCACACUAUGUACAAUGGUUCAGACAUGGAAGCAACCUGAAUGUCCAUCAAAAGAGGAAUGUAUAAAGAAUAUGUCCAUUAUAUAUAUAGUGGAAUAUUACUCAGCCAUGAAAAAGAGUGAAAUAAUACCAUUUGCAACAACAUGGAUGGACCUAGAGAUUAUCAUGCUAUGUGAAGUAAAACAGAGAAGAUGAAUUCAUAUCGCUUACAUGUGGAAUCUAAUUUAAAAUGAUACAAAGAACUUUUUUUAAAAAACAGAAACAAGCUUACAGAUUUCAAAAACAAUCUUAGGGAUACCAUAGGGGAAAUUGUAGGAGGGAGGAUUGGAAUAAUAUAUACACACUAUAUAAAAUAGGUAAUUAACAAGAACCUACUGUAAGACACAGGGAAAUCUACUCAAUAGUUUGUAAUAAAAUAUAUUUGUUGUACAGCUGAAAAUAAUACAACAUUGUAAAUCAACUAUACUCCAAUAAAACUUUUUUAAAAAUGCCUUCAUGAUGGGGAAGAUGUGACCUUUCCUCAAAAUACCUGUUACAGCAUAUAUACCAAGAUUUGCAAAUAGCCUUACUUAGGUUUGCCUCAAGUGUUUUACCUGGAAAGGUAGGCAAAAACACUAGAUGCUAAUGAAAAAUUUGUUGUUUCCAAAUAAUGAAUCCAUUUGCACAGUCACCCUCUGCCAUGAAAUUUUUAUUAUUUGUUUCUUUAUACAUAAGCUUGGAGAUUGGAAAGAAGUGUUCAGGGACUAGCUAUCCUUUACCUAUUUACUGUAGGUAAUUAAAUAAGAUUGCUGAUUGGCUGACUUCCAGUAGCAUGCUUACUGGAUUGAAGCUGACUUUCAGAGGGGGCUAUCAUUGAUUGGCUGAUUACUGGUAUAAUGUUAUUUUUGAUAGAUUAGUACAGGUUUUUAAUAAGUUCUAUUUGUUAUUGUUGUUAGGGCCAAUAAAUGGUUAGCCCUUUCUAGAAAAAUAAGAACAUUUUUGUUUUCAGUAGUUUGUUACCUCAUUUCACUCAUCAGGUCAUGGCAAUAUAUCUCCAACUAUAUCAAACACCUUAGGUCUAAGAUAGGCAAGUAGGAAUGUUGUGUGAAAAUACAUGUUUUCUGGCAAAUAAAGUUUGUACAGCUGGAGUAGGCAAAAGUGUUUUGUUAUUGCAGAAGUUUCCAGUGUUAAAAAUCCAGAGAAUGAAUCUAUAACUGUAAAAUAUAGCAUAUGGCUUUUUAUAAUGUUAUUUGACAUUUUAUUCUUAAGAAAAAUUUCCUAGGAGUGGAGUUCCUCAAAGCACAUUUUGAUAAAUACUAUUGUGAUGACCGUAUAGGUUAGGAAUUGACAAAUUUGAGCCAAUGUCCAAAUCAGUCUUGCUGCUUAUUUUUGUACAGUCUGUCAGUUAAGAACUAUUUUUACAUUUUUUUAAUGGUUGGAAAAAAUCAAAAGGAUAAUGCUUUGUGAUACCUGAAAACUAUAUGAAAUUUAAAUUUCCCUAAUUUAAAACCUUAAAGUUUUAUUGGAACACAGCCUCUCACGUAUUUGCUCAUACACUGUCAGUGUCUGCUUUUAUACGUGUUGGUAGAGUUGAGUCAUUGCAACAGAGAGCAUAUGCAGCCCUCUCAUCACUUCACACUGCUGUGUGAUGCCGCUGUAAAUUGUAAUGAUGCAGUUACAACUUAACAAUGUUUCAAGUGGCAUCUGUAUGGACAAAGUGCAACAUUUAUUUUAUUUUUAUUACCAGUGCAUCCUUAUUAUGUCAAUACAAAUAAAUCAGGUAAAAUUUGACUCUAAAUGUCACAUUUGUAAGACACAGUGGAGUGUGGAAUAUUUUGUUGUCAAAUUAGACUGCAUUCCAUUGUAUUUAUUAUGUAAUGAUAUCAGAGUUGUGCUAUAAUAGAAUUUUUAUUUAUGACAAAGAUGCUACUCCACUCCAGAUCAGAAGAGAAUGAAAGCUUCAUUGGGAUGAAAAAAAUAUGAAUUUUACCUUACCUCACACUGUACUUGAAAACAGUUAAAGGUGGAUUAUAAUCUAAAUGUGAAAGACCAAUGAUAAAACUUUAAGAAAUAACAUAGACGAAUGAUUUCAUGAAUUUGGAAUAUGGAAAGUUUUCUUAAACAGAAUACAAAAAACACUAAUCAUAGUGGAAGAUUCAUAAAGUUGUCUACAUUCUACUUAAGGUCUUCUAUUUAUCAAAGGUAACACAAAGAUAAUGAUAAGGCAAACCACAAAUCUUUAGAAUUUAAAACCAAUCGUAUGACAACCAAGCCCUCAAUUAAGUCACCCUAGUAGGUAUCAAGUUCUUUUGAGAACAUUAGCAAUCACAGAGCUACAAGUUUGCAGAAAAGGGAAUUGGCAAUCUUACAUUUCACUGACAAAAUUGUAUACUGACUCAUUCUGAAAUAUAAAAAUUAAUUUAUAAAACAAGCAGUAAAUAACAGUGAUAUUAAUACUAUUAAGUAGUACUUUAAAAUGUACAAGUACAUGGUAUUGGAACUAAUAUGUUCAAACACUACAAUACAACAAUGCAAAUAAAUUGUUUUUCAUUCAUAUUACACCAACUACAACAUUUGUAGGGUGCUAAUUCUGUUAGAUACAGAAUUAAGCCUGGCUAAAUUGCAAACAUAUUACAAUGCAGUUAUCCAAGUAGUUGUCAUUUAGAGCCCUGAGUUUACUGAAAUCGUCAUUAGGAUAGUAAAUAAACCUCAACAAAAGCAGUACAUUAUUUUAUGUUAGUAGAUGCAUUAGCUUUAUUGUAGCUAGUGGGCAAACACAAUCUGAUGAAACUCCUGGAGGAUGACACAUUCCACAGCGAAACUUUUUUGCAUCCUUUGCUUCAUCUGGUAAAUAUAAGAACCAUUAGGAGUUUAAGUGUGAUCAGUUUAGAUCAACUAAAAACUAUGAAUCCCAAAAUUUUUAAACUCGUUAUUUUGAACUCAGGAAUGGAUUCCACAGGCUUAAUAAGGCUCAAUCAAAUGACUAUAAUUUUCACACAUAACUACUAAAAAGAUUCAUCUCGGGAGAAGAUUUUUAGUAUAACCAAAUUCUUCAUCCUAAAAAAAAAAACAAAACAAAAAAA